This 72-nucleotide transfer RNA is filed under the name Loxodonta africana (African savanna elephant). It matches the Rfam family "tRNA". Rfam says of the family: Transfer RNA (tRNA) molecules are approximately 80 nucleotides in length. Their secondary structure includes four short double-helical elements and three loops (D, anti-codon, and T loops). The record is from Rfam by way of RNAcentral. Lineage: Eukaryota; Metazoa; Chordata; Mammalia; Proboscidea; Elephantidae.
GCCCUGGUGGCACAACGGUUAAGCACUCAGCUGGAAACUGAAAGGUUGGUGGUUGGGACCCACCCAGUGGCA